RNAcentral lists this long non-coding RNA (211 nucleotides) under Ananas comosus (pineapple). RNAcentral describes it as "long non-coding RNA (ACOM_LNC016919)". Lineage: Eukaryota; Viridiplantae; Streptophyta; Magnoliopsida; Poales; Bromeliaceae. The record is from RNAcentral.
AAGUUGCAGAUUUUUUAUUAAAUAUUGGUACUGGAAUCUGAGUACCGGUAAGCAAUACAAAAAGAGGAAAAUGAGCACUCGAAUUUUGAGGAAUCAAACCUGAAUAUCGGUACUGAAUUUUAAUUGAGUAUAGAUACUGAAAAUCGAGUACCGGUACGCGGUAGAAAAUCGGGAAUCCAACGUUCGAAUUGAGGUACUGAAAAUUGGGUAC